UACAGAGGUCUCAAGCGUUGUUCGGAUUCAUUGGGCGUAAAGGGUGCGUAGGUGGCGCGGUAAGUCGGGUGUGAAAUUUCGGAGCUUAACUCCGAAACUGCAUUCGAUACUGCCGUGCUUGAGGACUGGAGAGGAGACUGGAAUUUACGGUGUAGCAGUGAAAUGCGUAGAGAUCGUAAGGAAGACCAGUGGCGAAGGCGGGUCUCUGGGCCAUAACUGACGCUGAGGAGCGAAAGCGUGGGGAGCGAACAGG
RNAcentral lists this ribosomal RNA (253 nucleotides) under uncultured bacterium. Its description in RNAcentral is "partial 16S ribosomal RNA". It matches the Rfam family "Bacterial small subunit ribosomal RNA", at positions 524 to 776 of the family's 1533-position model. The record is from RNAcentral.